AACACUGGCGCUGUUAGUGACUGACUGUGUUUGCUGUUGUAGGGUUCGGUGUUGGGGGCCUGCAGCCAGGGGCUGGAGUUCCUGGCUUCGGUUUGUCUCCCAUUUACCCAGGUGGACUCGCUGGCCAGCUGGGAUACGGCGGAAAACCUCCCAAGACUUAUGGUGGGGCCCUGGGAGCCCUAGGAUACAGAGGUGGCGUGGGCUGUGCGCAAGGGAAGUACUGUGGCAGGAAGCGGAAGUAACCCAGCCAGGCUGCUACCAUUAACCUCAUGAACUUUGGUGCUACUGCAUGGUCUAGAAUGUAAACCCUGAGUAAAGCAGUGAUCCCGCCCCCCUCCCCCGCUCCCCCGCCGGCCCCCCGGAGGGAAUUCCACGGCCCCUGACGCCCCCUUCACUCCGGCCCGGGGGUCCCCACCCUCUCUCCAGCGGGAAGCACAGAACAAACUGCGGGAAACGCCGUUCCCACUGGUGCUAAAGCUCCCUGCGGGGAGAGCCGGGCAGGCCUCCGUGGGGCGGGGGCUUCUCUGGGCAGGGCAGGACAGGACCCUCCCCGGGGGCCCUGGGGGAGGAAGAGAUGGGGGCUGGUUUCCAAGAGAACAGCGAGGGGCUGGGCUUCACCUGCCGCCAGCACAUGGACGAAUGGCCCGUCAGCAGCGCCCGGCCCCAGCACAUCCCAGCUGCUCCCAAGACUCCGUCCAGCUGGCAUUGGUGCCAUGUGCCAGGGACUGCUUAGCAGCUAGCCAGCCUUGUGUCUGUCAGCCCCCUCCAUGCCUGCCCGCCCCAGGGCCCACGCUGCAGGGUGCCAUGGGAUGGGGUUCGUGGGCUCCAUGCAGGCGGGCAGGGGAAUGCCUCCUGCUCAGACACUCAUGCCAGUGGGGCCAGUAGGGGCUCGUGGGUGGGUUAAAUUCACCCAGAGUUCUUUGCGGCAGGGCCAUCUGAUUGGCUGACCCAUCCUUGCACUGGAGGACACGGCCCUCCCGGUGCGUGGGGAGGGGUUGGCACUAUCAGCAGAGCCAAGUCACUAACACUGAUGGGAUUAGCCAUGCGCCCGCCCUCACUCAGCCGUACUGUAUGGGCAGCCAGCGCCAGCCCAGCCCUGCCGUGUCUCCGAGGCCCCGCUGGGACCUGCCCUUCCUCUUGCCCUGGAUGCCCGUGUGUUCCUGAGAGCUGUCGGCCGGAAGGAAUCGCACCUCUCCAUGUUACUCACUUGGUAUAGCUCGGGUGGGACAUGUUAUAAAGAGGGAAAGUAACUGCUUCCAAACGACUAAUAAACAAUGACUUCUAAAGGA
This is a long non-coding RNA of Terrapene triunguis (Three-toed box turtle), 1289 nucleotides long. RefSeq lists it as uncharacterized. Lineage: Eukaryota; Metazoa; Chordata; Testudines; Emydidae. The transcript has 5 exons. The record is from RefSeq and is a predicted model, not a curated record.